AUGUUCUUUCUUUAAGAGAAUAGGAAUAAAUAAAUUGACCUUAUCUUUUUUUAUUUAGUUGACUAUAUAUUGACCGUAGACGACCAAACCAAUCAAGAUAAAACGUAUUUCUUUUUCUUAUAUAUAUUUUGAUAUAAAAUUCGGUAUGAAUCUAUAUCAUAUGUACACAUCAACAUCUCUUCAAAUGCGUAAAAUUACAUGCUGUUUCUUUUCUUUUUUCUUUUGAUAAGGAAUUCAAUUUAAUUAAAUUAUCAUUAGACAUAUUCCUUGUUCUAAAAAUUGUAAGCGCGGAUGAGGCAAUAAUAAAGUGCAGGAACUAAACGACACAAGAAAUUUGUUAACGAGGUUCGGUUUUUCCUACUCCCCGGGACCACGUCCAGAUUUCGAUUUCACUAGAACAAGAAAGCAAAUUACAACCAAUUCGCAAACGCGUAAAACAAGCACAAUCCUCUUGAUUUACCGUUCCCUUCUAUAACGUGAAACCUUAAGGAUAAUCUCUACCCUUAACUAAACUCCCCCUCGAGUCUAGAUUUAAUCAGGAUAAUCUAACCAUGAGCUAAACUCUCCUUGAGCCUAGACUUCAAAAACAAAACCACUUGAUCACACAAGCACAAACCCGCAAAACUAAGUUGCACACAAUCUCACAGAAAGCUCUCAAGGAUUUCUUCUUUAUGCCUCAGCUCUCUUGCUUCUCCAAGACGUCCUCAGCUCCUCCUUAUAUAGCCAAAACGAUUUCCUAAUCAUCAUAGGAGAAGAUUUCCAAUUUCCAUAAGAAAAAGUAAAUUUUCUUUUACACUUUUCUUUUUCCUCAUCAAACUCCACUUUCAUCAAGUCUUCCAAAUCUCUUUAAGUCUUUUGUCCUUUGUGAUUCACCUCUAAACACGCUCCAAACACAUCUUCUCAAACUUUCUAGAAACCGACACUCACACAAAAACAGUCGUAUCUUGAAUUACUUCUUGAAUCAUUCAGCAACUCCAUCAGACAAAAUCUUGUAUUACUUCUUGACUCAUUCAACAACUUCAUCAGACAGCAACUACAUCUUCAAAAAUCGGCCGCCUAGCCGCCUAGGCGCUGAUCGGGUGAGAACCGCGGGGAUUUUAUCCAAAUCGGUAAAAAAAACGGUGAUUCGAUUUUUAUCCGCCUAGACCGCCUAGGCGUCCGCCUAGACGGCGCCAAGUCCAAUUAUUUUUUUUUUUGAUCUAAAAUUCUAAACGUCCCACUUAUGUUCAUAAUUUGUAUAAAAAUCAUAAGUUUGACCUUAAAUUUUUGUUUUCAUGUGUUUAAUGCAAUUUUAAAAACAAGAUUAUAUAAAUUUCUUCUUUAUAAUGGAUUAAUAUGUUUUUAAAAUAUUAAAUAGUAUUAAAACUAAUCCCCGAUUAAUCCUUGUUUAAUCUCCGAUUUUCUUGUUAGGCGCUAGACCCACCCUCACUGCCCGACUAGCGCCUAACGAUUUUUUAAACAUGGGACAUAUUUGGGGUUAACUUCUUAUUAUAUUUGAAACGUAAGCAUUAGAUAAUACCGACGUCUUUUAGCUUUCAUAUAUGGUUCGAAGUUAAGAAAUUAUGAUUCGUUUACUCUUUUUAUUCUACUAUGCUUUUUGUUUGCUUAUAUAGUUAUUAUAGUUAGUAUUUAUUUGUGGGUUAAGAUAUAAGAUAUUUAGGGGUAGUAACUUUGAAAGCCAAUAAAAUAUUCUUGAAGUAAAAGAGCCCCAAAAGUAAUCCUCAAUGACAAUUCUAAGAAAAGUAUCAAUUUCGAGCACAUGCAAAUAUUCAAUCAACUUUCCAAAAAGUAUAAAGAUGAACCAAAUUUAUAUAAACGGUUUUUAAUGAUUAAAUAGAUAUCCAUAUCAUGAUAUAAAUUUCAUAGCGACCAAAUAUUUGUAUAUAUCAAAUAAGAAACGAUCUCGAUCUGGUUAGUUGUAUUCAUUUAAAACAAUUUUUAAUGAAUAAAAAACAAUUUUUAAUGAAUUUUAUGUCAUAAAUAGAAAUCAAUCGAUAGAUAGAAGAGGAAAAAUAUAUAUACAAAUUCAAGUUUUUAAUUAUGGUAGUUAGCUAAUGGCAUAAUAGAUCACAUAUACAGUAUUCUGAAACAAGGCAAACUAAAGCUAUCGAGUUAAUAUAAUAAAAUUAGUAAACAAUAUAAUAAACUUAAAAUUUUAGCAAAAUUAUAGAUGAUCAGAGUAUGCCAAAAUAUCUGAUUAAAUAUUAAUCUGACCUUCAACUUGAGAUAUUCCAGUUCUAUAAAAUAAUAGCUAAAAUAAUCAUAUUUCAGAGAUAUAUCUAUAUAUACAUUUUUGAAUCAUAAUUAGCAAAUAAAUCAUGAAGUUGAGAAGUAUUUACAAUGACAUGCCAUUAGCAUUAAUUCUUUAGAUUUAUUUUAUUUAAGUAAAGAUUUUUAAUUGAAAUUCAUUUCUCAUAUAUUUAGCAAAAGUCUCUACAAAAUCUUUCCUUAUCUAUUUAAGUAAAGAUUUUGAAAUCAAAUAUGUUUUCAACAAUUUACCAAAAAUCUUUACACAAUCUUUUUAAAAAUCUCGACUUAGUUAACUUCUGAUUUUUAUCUGCAAAAAAAAAAAUUAAUUGUAACGAGUGAUGUAAAAAUCGGGAAUGUUGAUACUACAAUUUCUUCUACUUUUUUUUUUUUCAUAUAAUGAAAAUUAUUUUUUAGAGAUAUUUUCUUAAAACCUCUAAACAAAACAAAGGGCUUCAAAAGAUAGCUUCUCUUUUGGCGGGUCGACCCGCAAACCCGCAACUCUCUACGGGCUUAUCCCAUGAACUUGCGACCCGUAGUGGAUAAAAAUAUUAUUCAAAAAAAAAUAACAAAUGAUGUUUAAUUCCCCACGCCACAGGGGUUAUAUGGUAGCAACAGGGUUUAGAUCAAUAUUAAUAUUAAACAAUAUACUAUAGAUGAAUCCUAGAAUUAAAAUGAAAAUUUAAUUAUAAAUCAGAACNNNNNNNNNNNNNNNNNNNNNNNNNNNNNNNNNNNNNNNNNNNNNNNNNNNNNNNNNNNNNNNNNNNNNNNNNNNNNNNNNNNNNNNNNNNNNNNNNNNNUGCCAUUAGCAUUAAUUCUUUAGGAUUUAUGUUAAUUAAAGUAAAGAAUCUUUAAUUGAAAAUUCAUUUCUCAUAUAUUUAGCAAAAGUCUCUACAAAUCUUUCCUUAUCUAUUUAAGUAAAGAUUUUGAAAUCAAAUAUGUUUUCAACAAUUUACCAGAAAUCUUUACACAAUCUUUUUAAAAAUCUCGACUUAGUUAACUUCUGAUUUUUAUCUGCAAAAUAAAAAAUUAAUUGUAACGAGUGAUGUAAAAAUCGGGAAUGUUGAUACUACAAUUUCUUCUACUUUUUUUUUUUUCAUAUAAUGAAAAUUAUUUUUUAGAGAUAUUUUCUUAAAACCUCUAAACAAAACAAAGGGCUUCAAAAGAUAGCUUCUCUUUUGGCGGGUCGACCCGCAAACCCGCAACUCUCUACGGGCUUAUCCCAUGAACUUGCGACCCGUAGUGGAUAAAAAUAUUAUUCAAAAAAAAAUAACAAAUGAUGUUUAAUUUUACGGGACGGGGUUAUAUGGUGCAACGGGUUUAGAUCAAUAUUAAUAUUAAACAAUAUACUAUAGAUGAAAUCCUAGAAUUAAAAAUCAAAAUUUAAUUAUAAAAUCAGAAACACUAAAGAAAAUAAACAAUAUUAACAAAACAAAUACAACUUAAAAUUUUGCAAAAUAAUUUUUUAGUUAUAAAAAAAUCGACCAGCGGUGUACCGCGGGGUAAAAUCUAAAUUUAGAAGUUUAAAGAAAAAAAUAUUUUUUUAAAAAUAAUAGCUCCGCGGUAUACCGCAAGAAAAAUCUUCCUCCUAAACUGAGGCAAGAAGAAAAAGAAAGCCAAAUGUCGUUUUAGUGUAUAUAUAUAGAUAUACCAUUUAAACCUAAAACACAAUUAAUAUACUCAAAACUAUUAAUAUAGAUAUAUGAAUGGUACAUUUAUAAAAUAGUUGAAAUAUUAUAUUAUACUCUCUAUUAAUAAACAAAACUAAUUAUAUUUAGAUUUUUUAAAAAAAAAAAUUAUAGCCCCGCGGUGUACCGCGGGUUCAAAUCUAGUUAGUUUCAAUUUUGGAUCAGAUCUUCUAGUUAAAAAAAAAAAGAAAAUUUUACCAAAAUUAAUGAGUUCAUAAAUACACUAAUUUGACUAUGAGAAAAUAUUCACGCAAUUAAUUUUGUAUUUUUCUACCCAAGUACAUACUUACAUUUCAUUAAAAAGGAUUAGUUCAUUUUUCUUGUUUCUCGGUUUUCAAUAAAAAUGUAAAAAUCAUGGUUAAUUACUUUAUGAACUUGAAAGAAAAUAAAAAGAACUAUAUAAAAAAAGAUCUAAUUAAAAAAAAAAUAGAAAGAUCUUAUCUUACUGUGGAAACUGGAAAGUAGAAAGGCCAUAAACGAAAUUAACGUCUGAUCAUCCAUAAAAAAAAAAGAAUAAAGAAGAUUAAGAAUAAACAUCCAAAACCAAAAAUAAUUAAUUAAAAUUAAACAUAUAGUUUAGGGCAAAAUCGAAGCUUUUAACAUUGAUGUAAUCAAACCUCUGAAAAAGCAAAAAAAUAAAUAAUAAAAAAAUCGAUAUACUAUUACUAAGAAACUUAAAGAGCUCUCUCUCUCUCUCUCUCUCAUAAACAAAAAAAAAAAAGUUUCUCAGGAAACCCCAAAUCCACAAAUCCCACUUGCAAUUUCUCCCCACAUCUCCCCAUAGCUCUCUCUCUCUCUCUCUCUCUCUCUCUCUCUCGUCUUCUACGGCUGUGAAGCAAAUAAAGCAAAAAUUCCAAAAUCCUUUCCUCCGAUUUGUUCCAAAAAUCUCUGAAAGUUUUCAACUUUGGGUCAGUUUGGAGAAGAACACACAAAUCUCUUGAAUGCAAUGUGAAAAAGGAACAGUUUUUUCCGACGAGAAUGGUGGCUGCAGCGAUUUCAACCACUGACCCAAGAAACCCACCUCGAGAUCGACAAGAUAAACCUCAAUCCUUAACCAACAAUGGCGGACAAAGAAGACCCAGAGGCAAACAAGUUCCUUCUCGCUACUUAUCUCCUUCUCCUUCUCACUCUGUCUCUUCCAACACCACUACCACUACCACCACUACCACAUCUUCUUCCUCCUCUUCUUCUUCCUCUGCGAUACUCAGAACUAGUAAACGAUACCCAUCUCCUUCGCCUUUACUCUCUCGCUCCACGACCAAUUCCGCUUCUAAUUCUAUCAAAACGCCUUCUUUGUUACCUAAACGGUCCCAAUCAGUGGACCGUCGUCGACCCUCGGCGGUUCCGGUCACUGUAGGCAGUGAAAUGUCGGCGGCUACGAAGAUGCUUAUCACUUCCACUAGGAGUUUGUCUGUUUCGUUUCAAGGUGAAGCCUUUUCUCUUCCGAUUAGUAAAAAGAAAGAGGCUACUACUACGCCGGUUUCUCACCGGAAAUCUACUCCGGAGCGACGGAGAUCGACGCCGGUUCGAGAUCAGAGAGAGAACUCUAAGCCUGUUGACCAGCAACGGUGGCCUGGAGCUUCUCGGAGGGGGAAUUCUGAAUCUGUUGUGCCGAAUUCGCUUUCUAGAAGCUUAGAUUGUGGUAGUGAUAGAGGAAAGCUUGGAUCUGGGUUUGUUGGGAGGUCAAUGUUGCAUAAUUCUAUGAUUGAUGAGAGUCCUAGGGUUUCUAUUAAUGGGAGAUUGAGUUUAGAUUUGGGAGGUAGGGAUGAAUAUUUGGAAAUUGGAGAUGAGAGCCAGAGAAGACCAAAUAAUGGUUUGACGUCUAGUGUUUCCUGUGACUUCACUGCUUCUGAUACUGAUAGUGUUUCUUCUGGUAGCACUAAUGGUGUCCAGGAAUGUGGCUCUGGUGUUAAUGGGGAAAUCUCUAAAUCAAAGAGCUUGCCUCGUAAUAUUAUGGCUUCUGCUAGGUUCUGGCAAGAGACUAAUAGCCGGUUAAGGCGGUUGCAGGAUCCAGGUUCGCCUUUAUCCUCUAGCCCGGGUUUGAAAACCAGUAGUGUAUCUUCAAAGUUUGGUCUUUCGAAACGGUUUUCUAGCGAUGCUGUUCCUUUGUCAUCUCCUCGUGGUAUGGCUUCUCCUGUAAGAGGUUCUGCUAUUCGCUCUGCUUCACCAAGUAAGCUUUGGGCGACAACUACGUCAUCUCCAGCUAGAGCACUUUCAAGUCCUUCUCGAGUGAGAAAUGGAGUUUCUGAUCAAAUGAACGCUUAUAACCGCAACAAUACGCCUUCAAUUCUUAGUUUCUCUGCUGAUAUUAGGAGAGGUAAAAUUGGGGAAGAUCGUGUUAUGGAUGCACAUUUGUUGAGGCUUCUAUAUAACCGUUACCUGCAGUGGCGGUUUGUCAAUGCGAGGGCAGACUCUACUGUUAUGGUGCAAAGAUUGAACGCAGAGGUAUGGCUUAAUUAUGAGUUUUUUUAUUCCCUUUUGUGUCCACUCUGGGCUGUAAAUACUUUUAGCCACUGCAGCAGAUUUAGAAAAGCUAUGAUUUGUUCAUCUAUAUUUAGGAUCUUGAUGGAAUAAGUGAGCACUUAUGGAAACUUAUCAUUUAGGCUCCUAGGUGCCACUUAUCUCAGAUUUAUCAUGACAAUUUGGAGAUUAAGCUUGAGUUUGUUAAUCUUACUGAACUAAUACAGUGAAAGAGUAGUCAAUUUUUCUGCAUAGAAAAAAAGAUUGAGAGUAUAGUUAGUAUAAAUCUUUCAAGAACCUGUUUUAAGUAUAACUAAAUCUUCACUUCUAGCGAUUUCUGGCGUAACAUAAAAUGUAAAUUUACUCUCUUGAUUUUUCUCUUUGCCAGAAAAACCUGUGGAAUGCAUGGGUAUCAAUCUCGGAACUGCGGCACAGUGUCACUUUAAAACGAAUCAAGUUGCUUUUGCUAAGGCAGAAAUUGAAACUGGCUUCUAUACUAAGGGGACAGGUAAGAAUGUGAUAUCUUUUAAGUUUUUACGAUUUCUUACUUUAACAGGGCCAGUGUCCCAAUUAAGACGUUUUCUUUUUCUUCUACUUUUGAGGAAUAAGACAGAUAUUCUAUGGAAUUUGGCUUAGUGAUUCCUUCUUGCCGUAAUAAGAAAAGAAUGUUUUGGAUAUAAUUCAAUUAUUGUACAAUGGUAAUUGUCCCGUAACGUAUUUAGCAAAUGAACUAAUUAAUUAUUUGUGUAUGGUAGGUAGAUUUUCUAUAUCUACCACUAGAAGUUGGUAUGCUUACUUGCUUAGAAUCUCAUAUUACUUGCAUAAGAUAUAUGAGAUUUUAUUUAUCUCGAAAUGAUAAUUGUAGUAAUAGUACAUAUCUACAGGAGAGGCAUAUAAGAAAAGAAUAAAGAGAGUAUGAAUUUUUUUUUUUUUUUGUAUUAGAAAAUACUAAACUUGCUCGCUGUAUUUAUUAAAUUGUAGAUGGGUUUUCUAGAAGAAUGGUCUCUUCUGGAUAGAGAUCAUUCAAGUUCUUUGUCAGGAGCAACCGAAUCCUUGAAAGCCAGUACGCUUCGUCUACCAAUAGUUGGAAAAACCGUGGUAAGUACCAUUAUGAUAUAAACCCUGAUAUGAUUGUUUUGGCUUAAUCUAGACACCUUAGGUUAUUACACUUUUAAUAUGCUUCUCGGAUUAUUUAGGUUGAUAUCCAAGACCUCAAGCAUGCUGUUAGUUCAGCCGUCGAUGUAAUGCAAGCUAUGUCAUCUUCCAUAUUCUCACUGACGUUGAAGGUAAAAAAUUAUCUUGUCUCUCUCAGAUUUUUCGAAGUUCUGUUGAGUCUAUUGAACCUUUUGGGUCUGAAAUGUUAUCUUUCUUGAGUUAUUCUAUACACAACCCUUAUUUUUAGCGGUUACUUUAAGCUCAUUUAUACCUUCUAGGUGGAUGAGAUGAAUUCUGUAAUGGUCGAAACCGUGAAUGUAACUGCUAAGGAAAAGGUUUUGCUUGAAAGAUGUCAAGGUUGCUUAUCAAGAGUAGCAGCUAUGCAGGUAAAGGGUCUUCAUCUUCAUUUAUCUUCUUGUUUUCCGGGUUUAGAUUACCUGGCAAUGUCUCUAUUCUUUUCUGAUAUCGCUUUGGGGUGAACACAACAAACCAGGUUACUGAUUGUAGCAUGAAAACGCACAUAAUACAACUAAGUCGGAUACCAAUCACAAGCAGCUUGACUUCACAACUGUAGAAAAACUGAUCUUCCUCAAGAGAACAGAUUUGUUCUUUUUGACUACAAUACUCACCAAGAACAGAGUUGCUAACACGGGCCUUUUCCUUCCACGAAUCCGACCUUAUCGUUUUCAAACCAAGAUCAAGGUUAGAUUCGCGGAUUAUCAUCUCUCUCUCUCUCUCUCUCUCUCUCUCUCUCUCUCUCUCUCUCUCUCUCGCUCUCUCUCUCUCUCGCUCUCUCUCUCUUUUGCUCUUGUAGUUCUACGCUUGUUUUAUAUAAAGAUUGCAGGUAAUUCCUCUAAAGUAAGUAAGCUUAGUUUUGUAUACGUAAGUUUUUCUAAUGGUUCUUUGGCUUGUGUACAUAUAAAGAUGUAGUAAUGUAUGAUCUGAUGAACCACUGAUUUUGAUUUUUCUAGUUCUAGACUUGUUGCCGUUUUUUCAUAUUAAGAUGUCUUGUCGUUUCUAGUUGCCUUGAAGGAGUCUGUCAACACCUAAAAAGAAGUACAAGUCAAAGAGGACACUCUCACUUCAAUGUUAAUCGUUCCUUUUGCUUUUGUGGAACCUCCAAAAGCUCUAUAAUACUUGUAUAAAAAAGGCCAAAACUGUCCCACAUCAGGGAAUGAGGUCACAUCAACAUAGAUAGAUGUCAUCAAGUAAACCUAAUCUAGUAUUGACAUCUAUCUAUGUGAGAGAAUUCAAUAACAUAACUUAUGUUACAUAAGUGUGUUAAUAAGUUUACAUAAAGUUAAAAAAAUGAAAACCCUUUAUCCUGUUAGUAUUGGUAAUUCCUCUUUCUUGUUGAAGCUUGUUUGCUAACAAUGCACUUUCAACCUCCACUAUGUCUUUGUCCCCGGGUUCAUUAAACUCUGGCGAUGGCACUGUAUUAAUAUCUAUCAAUCCCUUUAGGCUCUGCUUUGGGUCAGAUACAUGUGUUACAACACUCCCAUUACCACUAGGACUCGACUUGUCUCCUUGGGAACCAGCCUCCUCGUCCUGGCUGCGUUUGUGACCGCUGAGAACACCUUCGUAAUGAAGGCGUUUGUGUCCCCCGAGGGAUUGUCCCGUUGGAAACAAUCUAUGACAAAUAGAACACUUGUGGAUUUUCCCAGAUGGAGCUAACCUCUUUGGCCGUGUUUUUUCUCCAGUUGCGUUUUCAACAGGCGGCUUAACCCUGUGGCCAGCCUUGUGACCACCUAAAGCUUGAUAUGAAGGAAACUCUUUUCCACAGACGCUGCACUUAAAGGGAUCAGACUUAGGCAGCAUCUGUGGUUGAGGUUGGGUGUGCGUUUGCGAUUGCCGUUUGUGACAGAGAGCAGCAGUUUCAUCCUCAGAGAGAGAAGAAGAAGAAGAAACUUCAUCAUCACCAAAACGCUGUUGAUUUGGUGCUACACUAACCAACCAAGGCCUAAUAACGGCUCUGUAUUCUUCUUCUUGCCGGAUCGAUUCUAAACCUGUGUGUGUAAAGGAAGAAUCAUCAUCAUCAUCAUGAGAUGAAGAAGAACGAUUUGGCUUUGUUUUUGAUCGUUCAAUACCAUCCAACAAAAGCUCAAGGAAAACGUCGUCGUUUGAAAACCGGGCUUCUUCUUUCUCUUCUUCUUGCCGGUUCGAUUCCGAGAAAGAAUCUUCAUCGUCACCAAAACACUCUUCUACUUGUAAGAAGCUGUGUUCCGCGAAAGAAUCUUCGUCGUCACCCAAACCUUGUCGUUGUGACAGUUCCCUGCGUUUCAACCAGGGCUCAAUCAAAACGGCGUCGUCUUCUUCUCGCCGGAUCGAUUCUAGGACUCUUUGAUCCGAAGAAGGAUCUUUAUCAUUACCAAAACGCUCUGGUAUUGACUGUUGUUCACAACUCUCCAACCCAAUCUCAACACACUCAUCGUCUUCUUCUCCUUCUUCUUCUAGCCCGAUCGGUUCUAUCACUUUUAAACGUUGAUUCGCCUUCGUUAAAAGUUGUUCCAACUGUGUUGUAAGAGCCAUUACUAUCACUAUCAGAGACCCUUUUCUUUUGCUUGUUUCUUACGAAAGAAACUUGGGAGAGUAAUGUUACGUACAAACGACAGUUGAAUUGUUAUUAUGUAUAGAUUCCAGACUUUGUAGGGUUUACUCAUAUUUAUAUUAGUUUAAAGUCGGUUAAGUUCUCUUUAUCGAUCUCUUAUAGUAUUAUCAGAAUCUUUUAAGAUAAAGCAAGAUUUCCAUUCUUUAGCUAUAUUCCUAAACCAAAUAAAAAGUAUAUUCCUAAACCAAGCAAAAUAAGCCUUUAUCACAGAAAAACAAAAGGGAAGCCAAAUAAAUAUUCAAAAUUUAAGGAAAUGGAAAAGGUCCAGAUUUUCGGAAGUCGGAACUGACCUUUUUUUGAAGUACAAACAAACUUUGUUUCUAUUGCUUUUUGGCCUAACAUAAAAUUGUAUAUUAUUUUUUUUUUUGUCAUCCGUAAUUAAAUAGUGCUCAAAAGAGCCAUUCUUGUGGAAUGUUGUUUACAUAAGUGAUAUGAAGCGGUUUCGUACGAAUUUUUCGUGCCAGAUUAUCCGCUUUUACAUUUGCACAACGAGAAAUUAAAGAUAAAGAGAAGGUAGAGAACUCUUCCUUGUCGCUCUGAAAUUCCUCCAGAUACACUGAGAAGGCCGGCCAUUCGGUUGGGGAAGACACCAUCUUCACCAGAUCAGAACAGUCUGUAAGGAAUGCUACCUCUUGAUUAUCUGCACCAAUCAUACACUUCAUCGCCCAAAGGAGGGCCUCGAAUUCGGCAUGUAGCGGAGAUAGGCUUCUACGGAGGUUGGCAGCUCCCAUUGUUGAUGGCUCACCGUUUGAUGGUGUACAAAACCACCAUAUCCCGGAAAACUUGUCGCUGUCUUUCCAGGAUCCAUCCACAAAACAACGGUAUCAUGUAAAAUCCGAAUCUAGGGACACCCCCCACGUUUGAGGCUGAUUUGGAAAUUCCACUGAAGCCUGAGUUUCAGUAUGAAGCUCCACUUGAGCUGAGUGCCACAAUCGUGCCUCUCUUUCCGCUAAAUAAAAUUGUAUAUUAGUUACUCUGUUUUUAAGUAUUAUUAACUCUUUGCUUAAAUCUCUAUGUUAUGUAAUGUAAUCCUUUACAAAUCUUAAAGUUUAACAUUACACCAGUGAGUAUUAACUCUUUUUAAGGUUUAACGAUUAAUUUUUCUUACUCUAAAGAGGGCCAAUGCCCCAACAAAGUUUAUGUUUUUUUGUUCUCGUGGAUGUAGCAAACGCACACACAAUCUUUGGUUGGUAAGACACGUUAAUAUAUAUUCGUUUGAUAACCAUAAUAACUGGAUGGUUAAAUAUUAACAUAAAAAAUCAAAAUCAAAAUCAAAAUCACCAAGUAAUACCCUUAAUGCAAUUAGUAUUGAAAAAAUCAAAAAUCGUUUUUCUAGUCAAGGCUUGUUUGCUAAUAUCAUUGCACUUUCAACUUCCUCCACGUCUCCGCCUCCAGAUUCAUCAAACUCCGGUGACGGCAGGUUAUUAAGAUCUAUCAAUCUCCUUAGGCUCUGCUCUGGAUCCGACACAUUUGUUACAAUACUCCCAUUACUACUAGGACUACACUUGUCUUCCUCACGAACAACCUGGUCCUGACUGCCUUUGUCACUGACGAGAACUCCGUCACUUUCACUUAGGCUCAGCUUUAGAUCCAACACAUUGUGACCGCUGAGAACGUUGUCACUUACCAUUAAACUCUGUCCUGGAUCUAACACUUUUGUUACAAUGCUCCCAUUUUUAUUGGGACUUAACUUGAGAACAACCUCGGCAUUACCGUGUUUGUGACCGCCGAGAACGCCUUCGUAGUGACGGCGUUUGUGUCCACCAAGUGCUUGUCCCGUGGCAAACACAACAUGACAUAUAUCACACUUGUGGAUUUUCCCAGACGGAGACAACAUCUUUGACCGCGUUUUCUCUCCAGCGUCUGCGUCUGCGUUUUCAAGAAGCGGUUGUGGCUGCUUAACCCUGUGGCUGGCCUUGUGACCACCUAAUGCUUGAUACGAAGUAAACCCUUUUCCACAGACACUACACUCGAACAAAUCAAACUUCGGCGGCGCCUGCGGUUGAGUUGUUUGAGUUUGCGGUUGCGGUUGAGAUUGUGUUUGCGUUUGGCGUUUAUCACAGGAAAACUGGAUGAGAGUGAGAGCAGCGAUAUCAUCUUCAGACGGAGAAGAAGAAUUAGAGGAAGGAUCUUCAUCAUCACCCAAACGCUGUCGUUUUAGUCGUAAAUUAUCCAACCAAGGCUUGUAGAAAACGGCAUCGUUUGCAAUCUCGUCAUCGUCUGAGAUUUUGUGUUUCACCGUCUGAGAAGGAGCUUCAUCACUAGUAGAACGCUGUCGUAUUGACAAUUCACUACUUUUCAACCUAGGAGGCUCAACAAAAACGACGUCGUCUUCUUUCUCUCGCAGAUAUUCUAAGCAUCUGCGUUUCGAAGAAGGAUCUUCAUCAUCAUGAAGAGAAAACUUUCGUUUUGAUCGUUCGUAACAUCUCAACUCGUCUCGCCUGAGUUGCAUAAAUUUGUGUUUCGGAACGGUAAGUUUUGUCAUCGGCGAAAAUUGAUUCAGUGUCUUGAGAUCCAUACUUCUCCGAUUAUGUUUCAGACUUUUUUUCUUAAUCCUUAAGAAACUUGGAGCGAUUAACGAAAAAAAGUUGUGUUGGUGUUUCGUGACUGUCGUAUUCUCUCAGACUCUCAUAUUUAUAUUAGUUUUAGUUUAGUCGGUAACACUGUUAGGUUUCGGAUAAACAAUUGAAUAUAGGAAACAGAGUAAAAAAAAGGAAAAUAGAAUCUCGGGAGAUUCUACGUUAACUCAAUCUCUAUUUUAAGUGCAAAAAUUCCAGUAUUUUUUAAAAAAGUAAAAUUUUGAAAAUUUCCAUAUAGUGAAAAAUGUGAAAAAAAACGACACUUCAAAAAAAGGUUAACCCUAAAAAAAUACAAUUAGGUUAAAAGCUGCUAUUCAAUGUCAAUAAAACCUUUUUUUUUUCCUGAGCUAUGUGUGAGUUACAAGCCGUGCGGGACACGCAUUAAAUCAAACGCGUACACGUCUGAUUGGUUUACUUUUUAUCUUGAUAAGUAUCAUAUUUUUCCUCAAUCAUUAAUAAAAUAUCUAUACUUUUCUCAAUCACUAUAAUAUCAUUUCCUGAGUGGGGAAAAAAUCUUAAAUAAUCAUUAAUUGAUAAACUUCAAUUAUAUAAUGGAAACGAAUUUUAAGGAAUUAAAUUUUCUUAAAAGACAUUAAAAAAAAUAUUAUAUAUUACUAGUAUUUGUUAAAGAAAAUCCUUGGAAACAUGGCCAAUUCGCGACCAUUCGUUCGGAGAUAUCUUUUACCAAUAGCAAGUAGUGUACCUGAUACGAAAAAAAAUGGACCAGAUUUUACUAAACCGACGUGUUUAUGUAGACGUGAUGUGGCCCUGAUUAGGCUUAUUCGGUCACAUGUCAUUAGGUCAGAUCAAACACAUAAUCCAAGAUAUAACACUUUUUAGACGCUCUUUGAUUUUUUUUGACAACUUGCAAAGUAUUUUUUUAUUUUUUAAAUACGGUCCAUCGAGGAUAAAUACAAUUCGCUUUGUUUGUUAUUUGAAACAACUUCCUACAUAGUGGCAGGAGAAGCUUUGGGAAAGGGUGAAACUCUCAAACCUAAGUUUGAUUCUCCCUGGAAACAAAAACACAUUUGUUUGGGAAGUCUGUCAGUUGGGCCUUGGCCCAAUUGGUUUACCUGGUAGCCAGAAAUGCAGACGACCUGACUACCCCUGGCACUUAGUCGGAAGGCAUUCCAAACUCGGGAUAGGCAGAGUGGUAGCCCAUAAGGGCCUAACCGUUAACACGGUGGACUAGUCCACUAUGUAGUACCUCGGUGCAUUCCUACCGGGGCCGACCGGAUAGCCGAUAGAGUUUAUAAAAAAAAAAAAAAACAACUUCCUACAUCAUUAUUUAAAUUAAAUAUGUUUUAUUUUAAAAGUUACAUAAACGAAAUUGAUAUUUAUCGAUUAGACGACCAACGUAGUAGCCUAUUUUAAAGCCCCUUAUGGUAAGUAAGUGCAAUACGUGGGCCGAAUUCACGGCCCAUUUUGCGUAAUAGGUUUCCUUGUCAGGGGACAGAAUUUGAAAAUCAAACACAUUUUUUUUUUUUUUAAAAUCUACUUCCCUCUUUCUCUUAGCAUAAACCCUAAAAUUCGUAUUUUUCAGGAUGACUCUGUUGCCGGCGAUUGGUCGCGAGCUCUCGAAUCCGCCGUCCGAUGGGAUUUCUAAUCUCCGAUUUUCCAAUAGCAGCGAUCAUUUAAUAGUCUCUUCAUGGGACAAGGUUAGAAAUCCCCAAUCUUGUCUCAAAAACAUUGAUUUCAUUGCUUGUUUGAAGUUUGAUUUAUCUAAUCUGAUGCUUUGAUUUAUGUGAAUUGGAUCGAAGAGUGUAAGAUUGUAUGAUGCGAACGCCGAUUUGAUGAGAGGGGAGUUCAAGCAUGGAGGAGCGGUACUCGAUUGCUGCUUCCAUGAUGAUUCUUCUGGAUUCAGUGUUUGCGCCGAUACUAAAGUCAGACGGUAUAGUUAAUUUGUUCUCUCUUCUAAUUUUAUCUGGUUCGAUUCAAAAUUUUAGUUGAGAUAUAGUGAAACUGGUCAUGUAGGAGUGUACACUCGUGUUUAUGAAAUGGUUUGUGGAUUCUAAAUAAUUGGGGUUCUCUUGUUAUACUUCAGAAUUGACUUCAAUGCUGGCAAAGAGGACGUUUUGGGGACGCAUGAUAAACCAGUUCGAUGUGUUGAGUAUUCUUAUGCUGCAGGUUGGUGGUAUAUGAUGUUCUUGAUGCUUAAUUGAGCUCUUACCUUGUUCAUACUUAGUGCUUAAUUUAACAUUGAUGAACUAUGUUACUAAUAGCUUUAUUUAGUGCAUUCGUGUUUGUAGUCAUACCAUGGUUUUGCUUGAACACUUUGUAACGUUAUAGGGCAAGUGAUCACUGGAAGUUGGGAUAAAACUAUUAAAUGUUGGGAUCCAAGAGGUGCAAGUGGGCUGGAGCGUACACAGAUUGGUACAUAUCAGCAACCUGAGCGUGUUAACUCUCUUUCUGUAGUUGGAAAUCGUUUGGUGGUGGCAACAGCAGGAAGGCAUGUCAACAUUUAUGAUCUCAGAAAUAUGUCUCAGCCUGAGCAAAGAAGAGAGUCCUCACUUAAAUACCAGACUAGAUGUGUGCGUUGUUAUCCCAACGGGACAGGUUAAAUGGCUGAUAUGUUGCUUUCAGUAGUUUUCAUUUUCCAACAGUCAAAGUUGCUUUCUUCCUGUUCCAAGUAUACUCAGGAGCCUCAAUUUCCUCUUCCACACUUUUGAUUUUGAUAAUACUUUGCAGGAUAUGCCCUUAGCUCUGUUGAAGGGAGGGUGUCAAUGGAGUUCUUUGAUCUAUCAGAAGCUGCUCAAGCUAAAAAGUAUGUUCCUAAUGUGUUUUCUCUUACCUCUUUUUGACCAAGUCUAUGACGUUUUGUUUAAUCUUGCUGAGCAUUUUUUCUGGUAAGAUAUCCCUUUUACUUUUUAUUAAUCUGAUAUCUAUAUUUGAACUUCUUUUCAGAUAUGCUUUUAAAUGUCACCGGAAAUCAGAGGAUGGAAGGGACAUUGUCUACCCUGUAAAUGCAAUUGCUUUCCAUCCGAUGUAAGUCUUAUCUUAAAGAAACCUGAUUGUUUCCUUUCAGUUACUUGAUUGCUUCAAGACUUAAACUAAUUUUUUCAAUGGCCAAGAUGGAAAAUCUAGGGGAGAAUAUAUGAAUUUUGAGGGCUAGUUCAGAGUAUUGUGAAUGCUAUCAUUUCAUUUGAAAACAAAUUCUGUAAAUGUAUGUUCUGGGAUCCACUGUAUAUAUGGAACCUAAGGGCAAAAUUUGAAACUUUAAGUUAUCUGUAUAUAUGGAACCUAAGGACCAACGCUAUCACUUCGAAUAACCUGAAGUUUUUUUAAAUUGUAGUUAUGGCACUUUUGCUUCCGGAGGUUGUGAUGGUUUCGUCAACAUUUGGGAUGGUAACAACAAGAAGAGGCUAUAUCAGGUAUAGGAAAGAUGAGAGCUUUUGAUAUUUUUUUUUUCAAUGUUCUAAUGUUCUUUGAGACGCAGCAUUAAAUUGCUCCUUCUUGUUUGUAGUACUCUAAGUAUCCAACAAGUAUUGCGGCGCUGUCAUUCAGCCGAGAUGGUGGAUUACUGGCUGUUGCUUCUAGUUACACGUUUGAAGAGGGAGACAAACCGUAAGAAUCUCAGUCUUUAAUCUUUCAGUUCUUAACUCUUUGAUGGAAUUAUAGUUUGAGUUUGAUGCUAUUAGAUUUUAUCAGGCAUAUAGAAACAUUUAACCUGUGGACAUUGAGACUUACAGAUAGCAUUCUAGAAAUGUUAUUGUGUUUGCUUUUGGAUUGAUCUCUCUUUAACUGAUACUGAGUUUUGUGUCUUUGCAGGCAUGAACCAGACGCCAUCUUUGUUCGAAGUGUUAAUGAAAUCGAAGUGAAACCAAAACCCAAAGUAUACCCCAAUCCUCCGAUAUAGACUAGUCAGUAAUAAUGGAAUGAGCAGAGUUAAAUUCGACUUGUGUGUUGUAUUGUUGCUACAGUGGCUGCCCAAAAAAGAUUGUAGGACUUUGAAGUGAGUUUUAAAAUCUUAUUUUGGCUGUAAAGUGAAUUGUGAACAUUACAAAGGCUUUCGAAUCUGAGAUUGUGUUCCUUUGGUUUUGAGUAAAGUCCAUUUACUCUCUGGUUUGCCUCCAAUUUUUUUUUUAUUUUUGGGUACCAACUCUUUUCUUUGUACCUUUUUUUUUGGGUUUGUGUGUUGGUUUAGAAGCUAGAACUUAGAACCAAGUUAUAAUUUGUUAUGGACCAUAGAGCAAAACAUAGAUGGCCUUGGAAAAGAUUCUCUAAUAUGUGUAAUUGUGUAUGUACAUGGCAAUUCCGAAAACUUAACUGAAAAUAUAAAAGAUGGACUUGAAAAAGAUUCUCUGGUUUAAUCCCAAGUCUGGUUCGACCCAAAAUCUUUCCAACUAGAAGGAAGCAAACCAAAACUUCAAAAGGCUGUUUAAAAGUGGGCAUGAAUGAAUCCUACUGAUCGUAUCUUAAUAUCUCAUUAUGCAACAAGCAACAUUACCACUCAUCUUCCUCGUCAUCAUCAACAUCAUCAUCUUCCUCGUCCUCAUCAUCAUCAUCUUCCUCGUCAUUAUCAUCAUCAUCACCAUUUUCUUCUUCUUCGUCUUCUUCCAGAUUCAGAUGAUCAUCCUCGAUCUCUUUCCCUUUUCCUUUUACAAGAUAACACAAACAUGAAGUCAGAAAAAUAAGAGACAACAAUAUACAAUAUAUAUCUCCGGAGCUUACCUGAUACUUUAGGUGGAGGCAGCUCAAUGACCGGAGGAAGCAAUGUUGGAACUCCACAAGCUUCCGGCCAAGCUGAUAACUCCGGAACAGGAGAAAAUGUAGCUGCAUACGUUUUGUGAUACCGUUCAAGAGUGUAACAGUCAUCUACAUACUGCAACGGGUUUAUUUUCAGCUUAUCGCAGACUGCUAGAGCGUGCAGACAUAGGAGCUUGUUCCUUUGAAACUUUCCACAAGUGCAAGUUGACUCAUUCAACUGAACAAUCCCGCGGGUUGAGACAUCCACCACACCCAUAUAUCGUUUCUUCUUUUUCGAGGUCGUUGAGACCUCAAAUGCAUCUUUUUCCAACGGUGUUACAACGCAAGUAACGGAAUCUUUAGUGAACUCUUCAAGCUUCUCCAUGACAUGUUCUGUGUACACAUUGCCGCGAUUAAGAGAACCACGGCUACGGCUAAAAGAUUCAUUAAAAGCGUCUCUCAGCUCACCAAACAUAAGCAUCACACCCCCUGCCAUUGCAACUUUGGGAAAUCUUUUAUAAUGAGCAAAGAGAGCUUUGGUACGUAUCUUCAUGAUUCCGUAUCUCCGACCAUCAUCAUGAGCCAGAGCCCACUGAUGUGGAGGAAAUUGGUCUAACCAUUUCCAACCUUCUGGAUUCUUCUCUUUAAUCUCCUUCAUGUAAGAAUCAAAUUCUUCCUUCUGACUUGACGGACCAGCCUUCUCCACAAGAUACUCCAUGUUGUGGUCGAAGCCUGGAGAAACGCUACCGAAUUUGGAGCACAGAUGAUCGAGGCAGAACCUGUGAUAAGCCCAGGGUUCUUUCCACUGAGACCCUGGUUCGUUAAUAACAGCGAGUAUGUCAGGGUCGGGACUGGAGAUGAGGCAAAUGCCUUGCCUCUGUGUUACCUUCUCUCUGAUUCUAGUGAGAAACCAGCGCCAAAUAUCGACGGAUACUUCUUUAGUAACCGCAAAGGCAAGCGGAAAAUAUUCAUUGACUGCAUCAAAUGCCGAGGCAAUCAUCAACUUCAUUUUGUAUUUACCUCCCAAGUUUUUGGUGUCGACAACUAUCAGAGGUCUACAAUGUUGAAACCCUUGGAUAGACUGAGAAAAUGCCCAAAACACACCCCGAAAGUAGGCGUGUUCAGGAUUAGGCAAAGAAUCAUAUUGCCAGUCCACGAGAAGGCCAUUAGAAGAGUGAAGCACAGACAUUAACUUGGGUAUGAAUCUGAAACUCUGAUCCCAAUCUCCAAAGACUUUUUUGAUAGCUUUCACUUUCGCAUUCUCCAAAACUCCAUGUGCAUCAUUAUCCACCUCCUCAAAUGCAUCAAGGGCAUAGCCAAAUUUUUCUUUCCACCACUUAUCCAACUCCGCAGUUGAGAGCAUGGGCUGUACCCUGACCACACGUUCAAUCUCAAAUGCUACACGCUCGGCAUCAAAAUCAUUUAGUGAAGGAGAUUCAGGGUGACAAGUAUGUGAACCACUACACUUGGUUAUCUCAAAAAGACCGUCUUCUUCUCUCCUAGCUGCACAAAUUGACCACUUGCAUUGCCAUCUUCCACAUUCAAACACAUACAUGUCCUUGUCCGUCUCUCUUACUAAAUAUUUUUUCUGCCUUUUAAUAGACCACCAGUCCACUGCCUUCUUCAGUUCCUCUAUAUCUUUAAAAAACAAUCCCACACGCAUUGUAUCAUCGUCAAGCCACAAACCAGACACAAGACGCGGUGUUGAUCCUGAACCUGAAUUUGUAUCCCCCACCUCUUGUUGUUGUGUGCUCUUCUGUCUUUUCUGGGGAUUAAUUCCCAUUGGAGCAGGAGGAGGAGGAUCAUUAGAAGUUGGUUUAGCUUCCAAGUAAAAUUCGACAGUGUUAAUACAAGGGUGAUUGCUUGGAACCUCAAGCAUUUUCUCCAAACUAGCGUCGCUCAUCACAGGGUGAAGUAGAUACCGAAACUUAUUGGGUGAUUGAACAACAGGGUACCUAGCGACUAUUUCAAGCUUUGAUUUUUGCUUAUCAAAUCCAGUAAUUAGAUAAAGCUCGUCAAGAAAUCUGCCAAAGUCAGUCUUUUUCUUGACUCUCAUCUCUUUGGGAGUCGAUCCUUCAUAGUAGACGCCAUCAGGGCCAUGCUUGAUAUGACAAUUCCAGUAACACAACACCACCACCUCUCUUUCAUCCAUUAGCGAGUACAACAAAAAAAACCUACAAGUAAAAAAAUACCCUAGAAAGCUACAAUAAACAAUGAACAUCAAAAUACAGACUUGUUAAAAAAACUUGCUUUCUACAGAAAUGAAAUGUACCUUUCGCUAAGGAAUUCUUCGGUGAUUUGAUAACUGCCUUUUCAUAUGCUUGACCUAGAGCAACUCUCAUAUAUCAUCCUAAUUUUUCAAAAUAAUUACAGAGCGGAAUUAGUAAAAAAGUAAAGUUGGGCCAAAAUUAUAAAGCCCAUUAAUAAGUGUUGUACGAAAAUAAAGCCUAGCAACUCACCAGUUGGGCCGUAAUGGGAGUAUUCAUGGUGUACCCUUUCGUUUUUUGGUACAAUCUGGAUUCGGAAACCUUAAACCUAGUUUCGACUCCGAUUUAUAGUUCGCUUCCGUCUGGUUUGUGCGCCAAUCUCGGGAUUACACGCUAGUUUAUUGUAGCUAAUCUCGGGAUAAAGCUACUGAUAUAGGAAAAUAUACGGUUGGAUUUAACUAUACGUGGAGGGCUGAGAUUAACAGAGGAAGAGAAACACGUGGAGGGCUGAGAUUAACAGAGGAAUAGAAGCUGAAGCUUAAAAGGAGAAAAUGGUUUAGCUUUAGAAAUCAAUAAGAAAAUUCUGGAUUUGUUGUUUAUCGUUUCUUUUGGAUUCUCUCUGAGAAUUGUUCCUCAUCGUCGCCGGAGUUUCAUCAUGAACUCUUGCUGAUGAGAAGUGGUGCUGCGUUACUUGCGAACGUUGUAUCCAUUUAUCGUUAUCAAUAAACUCAAUACUUUGUUUCCUUUAUCACUGGUAUCAGAGCCAUUCUUCCUCGGAAUCAAUGGCAGAAACUAGAUCGACAAGCCACCACAAGCUAAUCCCUAUGAAGUAUUCAUGGGAGGAGAUAAAUACACGACGAGAGGCUGGUUUGUGCAUAUUUUGUGACGAGCAAGAGACUCAGGAUCAUCACUUGAAGCACAAGAGGCUACGGCUUGUCAUGGUGGACCUUGCGUAUACUUCAUUGGUUGAUGUUGAAGAUCUUAAGCGAGAUAGUGAUCUGAAAGCAGAGGAGGAUAAAAAAGUGGCAGAAAUAGAGGUUAAAACUGAGGUCGAGACAAAAUUGACUGCAAAUUUGGUACAGGAAGCGUUCUUGGAGGAUGAAUCAACUCCACAAGUUCAGGUACCAAUUGCUAAUUCUGAGAUUUUGAAGAGUAUUGAACCUAGGGAAGUAAACUUAGGAUUGGAAAGUCUAGAAUCUGUGGUGAUGAACGAGAAUCUAGAGCAAGAUGGGGUUCAAAAGAAAGUUACUAAGAGAUUUGAGGUUGAUGGUAAUGUUGAGAAGACUCAGAAAGUGUUAAGUGUUACGGAAAUUUGCUGUGCACACCAAGUGUUCGGUAAAAUGUCUCAACAUGAAGAAAAGCUGGGAAUAAAGAAGGAAGCGAAAGGGUUCAAAUCAUGGAUGUUCAAAUUCAAGCCUAUUAAGGAAAAAAUAAAGAAACGAGACAAUAAGGGUUGGUUCCACACUUGGAGCAGAAAACCGAGUUGGAAGAAGAACAAGGUUUCCAAAACUUGGUCCAUGCUAAACGUUGAUUGUUUCAAGGAUGAUGAUCAAGUGUAUCUUGAAUCACUUUCCAUAGGACUACUUAUCAGAUUCACGUUCUGGAAAUUCAAAUUCAUUAAGAGGAAUUUGCAAAAAACCAGUCCACAAAUAGAAGAGGUUAUGAUGAGAGAAGAUCAUAAGCAACAACAUGGUGAUAGUGAGCCUCUAGCGACUGCACCUGAUUAUGAUAUAAAGUUCAUGAAAAUGAAUUUGCAGAAAAAAAUGGGAGAACAUGGAUACGUCAACCACGGGAAGCUAAUGUUUGAUAAAGAAAGACAUGAUGAUAUUCUAAGAAGGUACAACUUGCAAUGGAAGAUACAGAAAUUGAAGUGUUGUUCCAAAUCUUCGCAAUUUGAGUUUCCAAACAAGAACGCGAGUGGAUAUAACCUUGACAGAGAUUUUGUCUUAGAAAUGGAUCAUUGGUAUCACUAUGUCAAUUUGGAGACAGGAUCGUUUCUUAAAACUGAUUCAAUUUCAGAACUUGAAUUGGAGUCAACUGAAUCAAACAUGGAGACAAAUAGUGUUGCACAACCUCAGGUAUCAAUUUUUGUCUUGGAAUCUAGCCAACAGCAGAAACUGUUAGAAGAUUUUGAUAUGAAUACGGUCAGUAAGGAUCAACAAUAUGUCUUAGCAGAAGCUUUGAGUCCACUCUUUGAUAAUUUUCGCUCGGAAGUGGCUGCGUUUUGUGAGCAGUCAACAUGUGUCAAGUCUCAUCAGAGGAAGCAAAGACUAUCGCCAAAGUCUUGGAUGUUCAAAUAUAAAUUGGGGAAGGAGUGGAAGAGGAGAAGGAACAUUUCGUUUCUCUGCUUAAUUGUGGUGAGGGCACUUCACGUUGAUAGGCUGCAGGAAAGAAAAAUGCCAUUGUUAUUGAAAUAUAAUUGCAGAACUGUUCUUGCAGAGGAGUACAACACUAGGUGCUUAAGUGUGCCUUGGAUAAAGCACAAGAGUAAGCAACUACUGAGCAUCACAAUAUCAGUUUCUGGAUUUAACAGAGCAUCACAUUAUCAAGUGUAUUUGUGCUUGUUCUUGGCCAAAACCCUUGCAUCACAAUUUCAGUUAUGGUAUGGUGGUGAGGCGACACGUUAUUGUUACAAGCUGCUCCUUCAACUAUUCCUACAGGUAAAAAGUACGACGAGGCAACGGGAACAAUUCUCUAGUGCCCAAGUCAGAUCCGAGUUAAAAGGGAACAGUUUUAAGUAUGGGAGAAUGCGUGGAGCAAAGGGAUUGGCUGAAGAAAGUUGGUUACGGAUCAGACUUAGAAGAAGUCCUCAUUUGAAGCAGCCCAAAACUUGGAGUUUUAAGUAUAAACAACAGAAGAACUAUCAUGAUGUGUUGGUGAAAGAACCAGAAAGAAUAUCAUAGUCCAGCAUUAAAGAGCUGCAGAAGUUAUGAUCUACAUAAGAAGUUCAUACUACUAAACCUUGAGGACAAUGGAGGAAACGACAUGGGAGUCCUCUUUGUUCUACAUCGACAAUUUCCAAACACUGAACCUUGUGGUCAAGGUUCUUCGAACAGGGGAGAUUUGAUAUAGGAAAAUAUACGGUUGGAUUUAACUAUACGUGGAGGGCUGAGAUUAACAGAGGAAGAGAAACACGUGGAGGGCUGAGAUUAACAGAGGAAUAGAAGCUGAAGCUUAAAAGGAGAAAAUGGUUUAGCUUUAGAAAUCAAUAAGAAAAUUCUGGAUUUGUUGUUUAUCGUUUCUUUUGGAUUCUCUCUGAGAAUUGUUCCUCAUCGUCGCCGGAGUUUCAUCAUGAACUCUUGCUGAUGAGAAGUGGUGCUGCGUUACUUGCGAACGUUGUAUCCAUUUAUCGUUAUCAAUAAACUCAAUACUUUGUUUCCUUUAUCAGCUACGUGCCGCGACUAAACGAACAGCCUAAUUGUAGAAACUUACCUUAGACGCGAUCUUAUUUUAAUGUUUUAAGAUCAAGGUUACGAAAUUUGAUCUCUUCGGAGAGGAUUUUGGUAAAUGGGAUCAGAG
This 23149-nucleotide long non-coding RNA is filed under the name Arabidopsis lyrata. RNAcentral's name for it is "long non-coding RNA (ALYR_LNC003292)". Lineage: Eukaryota; Viridiplantae; Streptophyta; Magnoliopsida; Brassicales; Brassicaceae. The record is from RNAcentral.